UACGUAGGGACCGAGCGUUGUCCGGAAUCAUUGGGCGUAAAGAGCGUGUAGGCGGCCACUUAAGUCCUGCGUGAAAUCUUGCGGCUCAACCGCAAGCGGUCGUGGGAAACUGGGUGGCUAGAGUGCGGGAGAGGAGAGUGGAAUUCCUGGUGUAGCGGUGAAAUGCGUAGAUAUUGGGAGGAACACCAGUGGCGAAGGCGGCCACCUGGACCGGUUCUGACGCUGAUGCGCGAAAGCGUGGGGAGCAAACAGG
Molecule: ribosomal RNA, 253 nt
Filed under: uncultured bacterium
Lineage: Bacteria
Description: partial 16S ribosomal RNA
Rfam family: Bacterial small subunit ribosomal RNA
Source: RNAcentral